CCUAGUUUCUUUAGCCAAAUUCAUUGUUAUACCAGGAAAUGAGCUGACAGAGUGUCCAUUGAGAGCAGUGCCAACCCUAGCAUCGAAAUGGAAGAGUGGGUGUUCCUGUUAAAGUCAUGGGAGACAAACUAGUGUAGCCAAGAUGCCCUUAAGAGGACCCUCCAAUUCCUGUUUCACCACCUUCUUGAUGUCAUCAUAUUUG
Molecule: long non-coding RNA, 202 nt
Filed under: Lynx pardinus (Iberian lynx)
Lineage: Eukaryota; Metazoa; Chordata; Mammalia; Carnivora; Felidae
Source: RNAcentral